GAUGAACGCUGGCGGCGUGCCUAAUACAUGCAAGUCGAGCGAACAGAUGAUGAGCUUGCUCCUCUGACGUUAGCGGCGGACGGGUGAGUAACACGUGUAUAACCUACCUAUCAUACUGGGAUAACUUCGGGACACCGGAGCUAAUACCGGAUAAUAUCUUGAACCGCAUGGUUCAAUAGUGAAAGACGGUUUUGCUGUCACUUAUAGCUGGAUCCGCGCCGCAUUAGCUAGUUGGUAAGGUAACGGCUUACCAAGGCAACGAUGCGUAGCCGACCUGAGAGAGUGAUCGGCCACACUGGAACUGAGCCACGGUCCAGACUCCUACGGGAGGCAGCAGUAGGGAAUCUUCCGCAAUGGGCGAAAGCCUGACGGAGCAACGCCGCGUGAGUGAUGAAGGUCUUCGGAUCGGAAAACUCUGUUAUUAGGUAAGAACAAAUGUGUAAGUAACUAUGCACGUCUUGACGGUACCUAAUCAGAAAGCCACGGCUAACUACGUG
RNAcentral lists this ribosomal RNA (497 nucleotides) under uncultured bacterium. Its description in RNAcentral is "partial 16S ribosomal RNA". It matches the Rfam family "Bacterial small subunit ribosomal RNA", at positions 28 to 507 of the family's 1533-position model. The record is from RNAcentral.